Non-coding RNA from Dendryphion nanum, 89 nucleotides. NCBI's taxonomy places the organism in Eukaryota, Fungi, Ascomycota, Dothideomycetes, Pleosporales, Torulaceae. The record is from the annotation of a GenBank genome assembly.
AGUCGCAUGGUGUAGUGGCUAUCACGUAUGUCUCACAUUUAACCGUGUGUGCUCACAUAAGGUCCCGAGUUCGAUCCUCGGUGUGACUA